CGGCGGACGGGUGAGUAAUGUCUGGGAAACUGCCUGAUGAGGGGGAUAACUACUGGAAACGGUAGCUAAUACCGUAUAACGUCGCAAGACCAAAGAGGGGGACCUUAGGGCCUCUUGCCAUCGGAUGUGCCCAGAUGGGAUUAGCUAGUAGGUAAGGUAACGGCUUACCUAGGCGACGAUCCCUAGCUGGUCUGAGAGGAUGAUCAGCCACACUGGGACUGAGACACGGCCCAG
This 234-nucleotide ribosomal RNA is filed under the name uncultured bacterium. Its description in RNAcentral is "partial 16S ribosomal RNA". It matches the Rfam family "Bacterial small subunit ribosomal RNA", at positions 96 to 334 of the family's 1533-position model. The record is from RNAcentral.